GCCGCGUGAAUGAUGAAGGUCUUAGGAUUGUAAAAUUCUUUCACCGGGGACGAUAAUGACGGUACCCGGAGAAGAAGCCCCGGCUAACUUCGUGCCAGCAGCCGCGGUAAUACGAAGGGGGCUAGCGUUGCUCGGAAUUACUGGGCGUAAAGGGAGCGUAGGCGGACUGUUAAGUUAGAGGUGAAAGCCCAGGGCUCAACCUUGGAAUUGCCUUUGAUACUGGCAGUCUUGAGUACGGAAGAGGUAUGUGGAACUCCGAGUGUAGAGGUGAAAUUCGUAGAUAUUCGGAAGAACACCAGUGGCGAAGGCGACAUACUGGUCCGUUACUGACGCUGAGGCUCGAAAGCGUGGGGAGCAAACAGGAUUAGAUACCCUGGUAGUCCACGCCGUAAACGAUGAGUGCUAGUUGUCGGCAUGCAUGCAUGUCGGUGACGCAGCUAACGCAUUAAGCACUCCGCCUGGGGAGUACGGUCGCAAGAUUAAAACUCAAUGGAAUUGACGGAA
Molecule: ribosomal RNA, 504 nt
Filed under: uncultured bacterium
Lineage: Bacteria
Description: bacterial SSU rRNA
Rfam family: Bacterial small subunit ribosomal RNA
Source: RNAcentral